CGAAAGCCUGACGGAGCAAUACCGCGUGAGGGAGGAAGGCUCUUGGGUUGUAAACCUCAAAACUUAGGGAAGAAAAAAAUGACGGUACCUAAUUUAAGCAUCGGCUAACUCCGUGCCAGCAGCCGCGGUAAUACGGAGGAUGCAAGCGUUAUCCGGAAUUAUUGGGCGUAAAGAGUCCGUAGGUGGCAAUUCAAGUCUGUGGUCAAAGACUAGAGCUUAACUCUGGAAAGGCCAUGGAAACUGAAGAGCUAGAGUUCGGGAGGGGUAGAGGGAAUUCCCAGUGUAGCGGUGAAAUGCGUAGAGAUUGGGAAGAACACCAGUGGCGAAGGCGCUCUACUGGACCGAAACUGACACUGAGGGACGAAAGCUAAGGUAGCG
RNAcentral lists this ribosomal RNA (378 nucleotides) under uncultured cyanobacterium. RNAcentral describes it as "bacterial SSU rRNA". It matches the Rfam family "Bacterial small subunit ribosomal RNA", at positions 376 to 770 of the family's 1533-position model. Lineage: Bacteria; Bacillati; Cyanobacteriota. The record is from RNAcentral.